This 486-nucleotide ribosomal RNA is filed under the name uncultured bacterium. RNAcentral describes it as "partial 16S ribosomal RNA". It matches the Rfam family "Bacterial small subunit ribosomal RNA", at positions 28 to 507 of the family's 1533-position model. The record is from RNAcentral.
GAUGAACGCUGGCGGCGUGCCUAAUACAUGCAAGUCGAACGCUGGAGAUCUAGCUUGCUAGAUCGAAGGAGUGGCGAACGGGUGAGUAAUACAUAAGCAACCUACCCACGAAGACUGGGAUAAUCUCUGGAAACGGGGACUAAUACCGGAUAGGUAAUCGGAAGGCAUCUUCUGGUUAUUAAAGGUCAAAAACACUGGUGGAUGGGCUUAUGUCGCAUUAGUUGGUUGGUGAGGUAACGGCCCACCAAGACGAUGAUGCGUAGCCGGCCUGAGAGGGUGAACGGCCACAUUGGGACUGCGACACGGCCCAGACUCCUACGGGAGGCAGCAGUAGGGAAUUUUCGGCGAUGGGGGCAACCCUGACCGAGCAACGCCGCGUGAGUGAAGACGGCCUUCGGGUUGUAAAGCUAUGUUGUAAGGGAAGAACGGUAGAUAGAGAAUAUCUAAGUGACGAUACCUUACCAGAAAGCCACGGCUAACUACGUG